RNAcentral lists this ribosomal RNA (56 nucleotides) under Pseudomonas aeruginosa. RNAcentral's name for it is "partial 23S ribosomal RNA". Lineage: Bacteria; Pseudomonadati; Pseudomonadota; Gammaproteobacteria; Pseudomonadales; Pseudomonadaceae. The record is from RNAcentral.
GUUUGAGAUUUGAGAGGGGCUGCUCCUAGUACGAGAGGACCGGAGUGGACGGACCA